This 266-nucleotide ribosomal RNA is filed under the name uncultured bacterium. RNAcentral describes it as "partial 16S ribosomal RNA". It matches the Rfam family "Bacterial small subunit ribosomal RNA", at positions 29 to 289 of the family's 1533-position model. The record is from RNAcentral.
AUGAACGCUAGCGGCAGGCUUAAUACAUGCAAGUUGAACGGCAGCGGGUUGUAGCAAUACAAUGCCGGCGAGUGGCGCACGGGUGCGUAACACGUAUGCAACCUACCCUAUACUGGGGCAUAACCUUUAGAAAUGAGGGCUAAUACUCCAUGUAAUUAUGAGAAGGCAUCUUUUUUAUAAUUAAAGAUUUAUCGGUAUAGGAUGGGCAUGCGUCCCAUUAGUUAGUUGGUAAGGUAACGGCUUACCAAGACUGUGAUGGGUAGGGG